Molecule: transfer RNA, 71 nt
Filed under: Marmota monax (woodchuck)
Lineage: Eukaryota; Metazoa; Chordata; Mammalia; Rodentia; Sciuridae
Description: tRNA.Val
Rfam family: tRNA
About the family: Transfer RNA (tRNA) molecules are approximately 80 nucleotides in length. Their secondary structure includes four short double-helical elements and three loops (D, anti-codon, and T loops).
Source: RNAcentral
GGGGUUGUAGCUCAGUGGUAAAGCACUUGCCUCACAUGCAUGAGGCACUGGGUUCAAUCCUCAGCACCACA